CUUUAUCGGAGAGUUUGAUCCUGGCUCAGGACGAACGCUGGCGGCGUGCCUAAUACAUGCAAGUCGAGCGGACAGAUGGGAGCUUGCUCCCUGAUGUUAGCGGCGGACGGGUGAGUAACACGUGGGUAACCUACCUGUAAGACUGGGAUAACUCCGGGAAACCGGGGCUAAUACCGGAUGGUUGUUUGAACCGCAUGGUUCAGACAUAAAAGGUGGCUUCGGCUACCACUUACAGAUGGACCCGCG
Molecule: ribosomal RNA, 246 nt
Filed under: Bacillus amyloliquefaciens
Lineage: Bacteria; Bacillati; Bacillota; Bacilli; Caryophanales; Bacillaceae
Description: partial 16S rRNA. Bacterial SSU
Rfam family: Bacterial small subunit ribosomal RNA
Source: RNAcentral